GGCGGACGGGUGAGUAACGCGUGGGAAUCUACCCAGUAGUGGGGGACAACUACCGGAAACGGUAGCUAAUACCGCAUACGCCCUAUGGGGGAAAGGCUUCGGCCGCUAUUGGAUGAGCCCGCGUCAGAUUAGCUAGUUGGUAGGGUAAAGGCCUACCAAGGCAACGAUCUGUAGCUGGUCUGAGAGGACGAACAGCCACACUGGGACUGAGACACGGCCCAGACUCCUACGGGAGGCAGCAGUGGGGAAUACUGGACAAUGGGCGAAAGCCUGAUCCAGCAAUGCCGCGUGUGUGAAGAAGGCCUGCGGGUUGUAAAGCACUUUCAGUUGGGAAGAUGAUGACGUUACCAACAGAAGAAGCACCGGCUAAAUCCGUGCCAGCAGCCGCGGUAAUACGGAUGGUGCGAGCGUUAAUCGGAAUUACUGGGCGUAAAGCGCGC
This 440-nucleotide ribosomal RNA is filed under the name uncultured Gammaproteobacteria bacterium. Its description in RNAcentral is "bacterial SSU rRNA". It matches the Rfam family "Bacterial small subunit ribosomal RNA", at positions 97 to 570 of the family's 1533-position model. Lineage: Bacteria; Pseudomonadati; Pseudomonadota; Gammaproteobacteria. The record is from RNAcentral.